Molecule: ribosomal RNA, 492 nt
Filed under: uncultured bacterium
Lineage: Bacteria
Description: partial 16S ribosomal RNA
Rfam family: Bacterial small subunit ribosomal RNA
Source: RNAcentral
AGUGAACGCUGGCGGUAGGCCUAACACAUGCAAGUCGAACGGCAGCACAGUAAGAGCUUGCUCUUACGGGUGGCGAGUGGCGGACGGGUGAGGAAUACAUCGGAAUCUACUUUUUCGUGGGGGAUAACGUAGGGAAACUUACGCUAAUACCGCAUACGACCUACGGGUGAAAGCAGGGGAUCUUCGGACCUUGCGCGAUUGAAUGAGCCGAUGUCGGAUUAGCUAGUUGGCGGGGUAAAGGCCCACCAAGGCGACGAUCCGUAGCUGGUCUGAGAGGAUGAUCAGCCACACUGGCACUGAGACACGGUCCAGACUCCUACGGGAGGCAGCAGUGGGGAAUAUUGGACAAAGGGCGCAAGCCUGAUCCAGCCAUACCGCGUGGAUGAAGAAGGCCUUCUGGUUGUAAAGCCCUUUUGUUGGGAAAGAAAAGCAGCAGGUUAAUACCCCGCUGUUCUGACGUUACCCAAAGAAUAAGCACCGGCUAACUUCGUG